This 138-nucleotide small nuclear RNA is filed under the name Chaetura pelagica (chimney swift). Its description in RNAcentral is "U4 spliceosomal RNA". It matches the Rfam family "U4 spliceosomal RNA". Rfam says of the family: U4 small nuclear RNA (U4 snRNA) is a component of the major U2-dependent spliceosome. The structure of U4 snRNA from yeast and human has been reported. U4 snRNA presents a k-turn RNA motif in the 5p-SL related to recognition of Snu13 protein. Lineage: Eukaryota; Metazoa; Chordata; Aves; Apodiformes; Apodidae. The record is from Rfam by way of RNAcentral.
AGUUUUGUGCAAUAGCAGUAUUGUAGCCAGUGAGGUUAAUCCCAGAAGUGAUUAUUGCUAACUGAAAAAGUUUCCCGAUGCCCCGCCAGGGUGACUUGAAAUAUAGUCUUAAAAAAAUUGUGACCUAGCUAUGCAGCA